This is a long non-coding RNA of Homo sapiens (human), 1785 nucleotides long. Ensembl annotates it as long intergenic non-protein coding RNA 1278. The record is from Ensembl. Lineage: Eukaryota; Metazoa; Chordata; Mammalia; Primates; Hominidae.
GUGCUUCCAGCGGGUGGUGGGGGGCCUGGUGUGCUGGCAUCAAGUAAGCCGACUACCUCGGCAAAGGCUUAGGGACAAGAGACCAGCAGCCUGAACUGGCUGGGGCAUCCGGAAGGCUUAGAUCUUGUGGCCAAGAGUUCAGACCGUGGCGAAGUGGAGAGUGACAUGCAGUUGGAUGGCGGUGACUGCGUGGUAUGGAAGAAAAUUCAGCUGAAAUUUGCUAGAAAAUGAGUUGUUUUGGAAAGAGACUGUAGAGAAAGGCAAAUGGAAGAAGAAAGCUUCUGUGCCCCCACAGAUACCGACUGAAAAGUGUUAGCAUGAGCAAAAGUUCCUAUCUAAUAUUAUAUGCUUUCCUUUGCUCCCAGCAUUCCACAAUCACGGGCUACUUCAAUUCUGCCUGCUGAGCUGAUUUAAUAAUCUGGAAGAGGAUUAUUCUCCCCCAUCUGGAAGAGGAUUAUUCUCUAUAAUCCCAGUUAGAGACACAAUGACAUAAACAUCGCUGUCCUGCAACCCUGGUUCCAGUCUGGCAAGCAUUGUAGACCUGGCUGCUGAAGACUGACGGGGCCCAGGGUCCGCUGCCCCCACCGCCAUCACCACCUCGGAACCCAGGGUAACGCUGUCAGUCUUUGAUGAUGUCAGAAGUGGGAUCCAAAGUAGAGCUUAUAAUGACACCUAGGAGUGCUGAGUGACCAAGCAAGGUACCCACCAGGCCGAUUAUGUCCAUUGUUCUCUUGGAGCAGCUGGUCAUCAUGGGAAAGGGUGCCACACUGGGAAUGCAAGCUGUCCUUGCUUCUGAACCAAGACUACUAUUGUGCCAGGAAGAGGGUGGGAAAAGAAGCCAAUAAAACUUUUCUUUUGAGUGAUUUGCAGCUUUUAACAAGUAAGUAAAAUAUACUCCUGUGAACAAAAUUUGGAGCAUAUUUGUUUCUCUCUACCUGAUUUCUCCAGAAUUUGGAAACUAUUUGUGAGUAUUCUUAACUUAUGACAAUAUAGUUAUUUGCAUAAGUGCAAUAAGAAUGUUUUCUUUUGUAACAGGACAAAAUAAAAGAAACCAGUUAUUUUACCAAGGCUUUGACUGGAAUGGCAUGCUUUCCUUUAAGGAAUCGAAUUUGGCUUACAGGGCCAAUAAAAGCCCCUUGGGAAAACUGGCCUCAUACCCUGUCUACACUGUCCCGUACAGGGUUCCUGACCUGUAGUAAAUAAAGAAUGUCACUUUCUAACAGGCCCAGGAGCCCUAGGUUAUCUUGGGACCUCGAAAAAAGAGGAAUUUACCUAACUGAUAAAUAUUUGAUAGUACAAACCUAUGGCUAGGCUUGGCUUUGGAAAAAAACCUUAUCUGAGAUUCCUUUUGUGGAACAAAGUCCAAUCAAAGCCAAUUUAAAAAGCCUAUGUGAAAAAUGAUUAUUUUUGCUGUACUUUACACAAAUAAUCAGGCUAAGUGUAAGACUAUGGCGUAUUUUUGCAAACAAAUCAGCCCUGUUAGGAUUUGUCUUUAGUAAAAAUGGGAGAAUGGAGAGAUAGAAAAAACAUAUUUUAAAAACAAUGGUACACUUGUUAUAAAAUUGUGAUCUCAUCAGUUAUUUUUGAGUUUUCUUUCUACGAUUUAGACUGAACCUGCUUAUUUCUGUGAACCAACCAGUGAUCUCUUAUGGCUGUUCAAAAGUAACAAGAGAGAUAUCACCUUUUGUCAUAACUCAAGUCUUAUGAAUGGCCCUCACCAUAAUGAUGCUUUUUGACUGAGCUCUUCUCUAACCUGAAUGCAAGAGGUUAGGCAUGAAUAUCAUC